UACGUAGGGUGCAGGCGUUAAUCGGAAUUACUGGGCGUAAAGCGUGCGCAGGCGGCGAUGUAAGUCAGAUGUGAAAUCCCCGGGCUCAACCUGGGAACUGCAUUUGUGACUGCAUCGCUGGAGUGCGGCAGAGGGGGAUGGAAUUCCGCGUGUAGCAGUGAAAUGCGUAGAUAUGCGGAGGAACACCGAUGGCGAAGGCAAUCCCCUGGGCCUGCACUGACGCUCAUGCACGAAAGCGUGGGGAGCAAACAGG
This 253-nucleotide ribosomal RNA is filed under the name uncultured bacterium. RNAcentral's name for it is "partial 16S ribosomal RNA". It matches the Rfam family "Bacterial small subunit ribosomal RNA", at positions 524 to 776 of the family's 1533-position model. The record is from RNAcentral.